Beta vulgaris subsp. vulgaris (sugar beet) is the source of this 103-nucleotide small nuclear RNA. Lineage: Eukaryota; Viridiplantae; Streptophyta; Magnoliopsida; Caryophyllales; Amaranthaceae. The record is from Rfam.
GUCUCUUCAGAGACAUCUGAUAAAAUUGGAACGAUACAGAGAAGAUUAGCAUGGACCCUGCACAAGAAUGACACACACAACUGGAGACUAGGUCCAUACUUUU